Molecule: ribosomal RNA, 253 nt
Filed under: uncultured bacterium
Lineage: Bacteria
Description: partial 16S ribosomal RNA
Rfam family: Bacterial small subunit ribosomal RNA
Source: RNAcentral
UACAGAGGUGGCAAGCGUUGUUCGGAAUUACUGGGCGUAAAGGGCGCGUAGGCGGCCUCCUAAGUCAGACGUGAAAUCCCCCGGCUUAACCUGGGAACCGCGUCUGAUACUGGGAGGCUAGAGUGCGGGAGAGGGAUGCGGAAUUCCAGGUGUAGCGGUGAAAUGCGUAGAUAUCUGGAGGAACACCGGUGGCGAAGGCGGCAUCCUGGACCGGUAUUGACGCUGAGGCGCGAAAGCCAGGGGAGCAAACGGG